AACGAACGCUGGCGGCAUGCCUAACACAUGCAAGUCGAACGGGACCUUCGGGUCUAGUGGCGCACGGGUGCGUAACGCGUGGGAACCUGCCUUUAGGUUCGGAAUAACUCAGAGAAAUUUGAGCUAAUACCGGAUGAUGUCUUCGGACCAAAGAUUUAUCGCCUUUAGAUGGGCCCGCGUUGGAUUAGCUAGUUGGUGGGGUAAAGGCCUACCAAGGCGACGAUCCAUAGCUGGUCUGAGAGGAUGAUCAGCCACACUGGGACUGAGACACGGCCCAGACUCCUACGGGAGGCAGCAGUGGGGAAUAUUGGACAAUGGGCGAAAGCCUGAUCCAGCAAUGCCGCGUGAGUGAUGAAGGCCUUAGGGUUGUAAAGCUCUUUUACCCGAGAUGAUAAUGACAGUAUCGGGAGAAUAAGCGCCGGCUAACUCCGUG
RNAcentral lists this ribosomal RNA (433 nucleotides) under uncultured bacterium. RNAcentral describes it as "partial 16S ribosomal RNA". It matches the Rfam family "Bacterial small subunit ribosomal RNA", at positions 29 to 507 of the family's 1533-position model. The record is from RNAcentral.